GCCCAGGUAGCUCAGUGGUAGAGCACUUGCAUGGUAAGCAAGUGGCCGUAGGUUCGAUUCCUAUCUUGGGCA
RNAcentral lists this transfer RNA (72 nucleotides) under Rhabdochlamydiaceae bacterium. RNAcentral describes it as "tRNA-Thr". It matches the Rfam family "tRNA". From Rfam's summary of the family: Transfer RNA (tRNA) molecules are approximately 80 nucleotides in length. Their secondary structure includes four short double-helical elements and three loops (D, anti-codon, and T loops). Further hydrogen bonds mediate the characteristic L-shaped molecular structure. tRNAs have two regions of fundamental functional importance: the anti-codon, which is responsible for specific mRNA codon recognition, and the 3' end, to which the tRNAs corresponding amino acid is attached (by aminoacyl-tRNA synthetases). tRNAs cope with the degeneracy of the genetic code in two manners: having more than one tRNA (with a specific anti-codon) for a particular amino acid; and 'wobble' base-pairing, i.e. permitting non-standard base-pairing at the 3rd anti-codon position. Lineage: Bacteria; Pseudomonadati; Chlamydiota; Chlamydiia; Parachlamydiales; Candidatus Rhabdochlamydiaceae. The record is from RNAcentral.